UACGUAGGGUGCAAGCGUUGUCCGGAAUUAUUGGGCGUAAAGAGCUCGUAGGCGGUUUGUCGCGUCUGCUGUGAAAACCCGAGGCUCAACCUCGGGCCUGCAGUGGGUACGGGCAGACUAGAGUGCGGUAGGGGAGAUUGGAAUUCCUGGUGUAGCGGUGGAAUGCGCAGAUAUCAGGAGGAACACCAAUGGCGAAGGCAGAUCUCUGGGCCGUAACUGACGCUGAGGAGCGAAAGCAUGGGGAGCGGACAGG
RNAcentral lists this ribosomal RNA (253 nucleotides) under uncultured bacterium. Its description in RNAcentral is "partial 16S ribosomal RNA". It matches the Rfam family "Bacterial small subunit ribosomal RNA", at positions 524 to 776 of the family's 1533-position model. The record is from RNAcentral.